AGGAAGUUCUUAGAACAUAGACUCACUCCUUCUGGUGCUCCGUGACUCCCCAAGUCUUGGGGUGGUAGUGGCUUAGUUCCCACGCCGUGCAGAUUCAAGGGGACACUGGACACCAGGUGACCCUGGCUUCAGGAGUUGGCAAGGGAUCUGCCCUAUGCCGAGCAGGAGUUCACCUGGAGUUUACCCAUGUGCUAGUUCCCAUGUCCAAGUUCCAUGCAGCAAAGAGCCACCACUCAGCCACCCCUGGAUGCACUCGGCCUCCUGACCUCAGGAAGGUGGACAAGGGGAAGAGGAAUCGAAUACGAAUUUGAAGAGGAGGGAUUACCUGAAUCUGGAGAUAAACUCAAAUAACAAACAAAACUUGUGCCCAGACCACUGCUUCCUUCAACACCUAAGGCUUUGUAACCAAGCCCAGUGAGGUGAGCAGGAGCUGAUCCAACCAGUCAGGCUGCCUGGAGUGGGUGUUCUCCAGCCCACUACCCAAAGAAGAAAACAGAGGCUACUCAACCUGUGCCCCAGAAGACCACUUUCAACAUGUUACAGGUCAAGAAACUAAUUUCAAAAUGCAUUGGAAUACAUUAUCUUGUGACUCAAGGAGCAGGAGAGAACUUAAACACAGUGCAUCACUAUCAGUAAUAUUUGCUUCUUGGCAUGUGGCUCUGCUCCAAGUUUAACCUUUUCUCUCACAAGCAGAAGGAUGGCAUAAUAACUAACCUUUUGCCCAUUCCUUUAUUCCUGAAGCAUCCAUUCUAUUAUACUGAGCAUUGGUGACUAAGUGAGAAAGUAUGAAGAGGGAAAUAAAGGCAGCAGAGUAAGGUCUACACAAGCUAGAGUGGGUGACACCCCUCACAAACUUUGCCUCCCAGCUUAAAGUUAGCUUCCUCUCUCUGGAUUAGUCGUCCACGGCCUACUGCGUGGUCAUCUCACUGGUCUACCAGCAUCUUCUCUGGCAUGCUUCCAUCCCUUUUCUAUGUGCAGUGUCCAGAGUUUCCCUGUAAAACACAACUUCAGGCCUGUCACCUCUUAGGAUGAAGGCAGGCUCCUUGCCUGGCCCAGCAGUCCCAGUGAGCCUGACUGGGCUGCACGCCCUGGCUUCCGUGGUGCCUCACACUCCAUACCCCUCCCUCCCGACAGCCUCUGCUGUGUGCCUUCGCCUGCGUCACUGUCUCCAAGCCUACUUCUUCUUCCUUGGCUCAGAGAAUUCCUGACCUGAUAGACCAAAUUCCCAUCCAGCACUGUGCACGUUCUUAGCACACAUCACAAUCUCAGUUUUACAUUUACGCAUUUGACCACACUUGAUCCGUCUCCCUGACUAAAAUAUGAGCCCCAUGAGAAUGGCUUCCAUGUCAACAACAGAUCUCCAAGGGCUAGCAUGGCCCCUGGCAUUGAGGAGGCCCCCAGAGAAGGAGUAAAUGAAGGACUGAAUCAAUUUACUGGAAAGUUUACUAGAAGCUAAUUUUUUUUUAAUGCUACAGAAGAGGGUGCUAUGUUUAUACAGCCUUGAAAUCAUUCACCAAUAGUGUAAAGCUCAUUAUUGAAAUACAUACACACACACAUUUUUCAUAUUAGCAAUGAAAUGAUGUCAUGUCUGGUAGGACCCAAAACCUGCACUUCCUGAAUAUUUUUUUAUUAAGUUAUUAUUUAUAUACAAUCUUAGGAAGGUUUAUUG
Manis javanica (Malayan pangolin) is the source of this 1669-nucleotide long non-coding RNA. RefSeq lists it as uncharacterized. Lineage: Eukaryota; Metazoa; Chordata; Mammalia; Pholidota; Manidae. The record is from RefSeq and is a predicted model, not a curated record.